CCUACGGGAGGCUGCAGUAGGGAAUAUUGGACAAUGGGUGCGAGCCUGAUCCAGCCAUGCCGCGUGCAGGAAGACGGCCUUCUGGGUUGUAAACUGCUUUUGCCAGGGGAUAAAACGGCUCUGCGGAGCUAAUUGAAGGUACCUGGUGAAUAAGCCACGGCUAACUACGUGCCAGCAGCCGCGGUAAUACGUAGGUGGCAAGCGUUGUCCGGAUUUAUUGGGUUUAAAGGGUGCGUAGGUGGUUCCAUAAGUCAGUGGUGAAAUACGGCAGCUUAACUGUCGAGGUGCCAUUGAUACUGCGGAACUUGAGUACAGACGAGGUAGGCGGAAUUGACGGUGUAGCGGUGAAAUGCUUAGAUAUCGUCAAGAACACCGAUAGCGAAGGCAGCUUACUAGACUGUAACUGACACUGAGGCACGAAAGUGUGGGGAUCAAACAGGAUUAGAUACCCCGGUAGUC
This 459-nucleotide ribosomal RNA is filed under the name Weissella confusa. Its description in RNAcentral is "bacterial SSU rRNA". It matches the Rfam family "Bacterial small subunit ribosomal RNA", at positions 338 to 795 of the family's 1533-position model. The record is from RNAcentral. Lineage: Bacteria; Bacillati; Bacillota; Bacilli; Lactobacillales; Lactobacillaceae.